AGACAAUAACAGAGAACAACCGUGGCUAAACUGCACGCAACUACCCCCGCCACACACCUCGGACAAGGGGAGGGGGUUACGUCGCCUGAAAUAAAUUGCAUCAGACGAGCCCCAAGACCUAACUUGGAGAAGAGGCGGCAGGGUGAACAGAGGGAAGAAGAUGAUGUGAAAAGCCACGAGCGUUUUUUGUGCUUCGAAAUAGGGUUGCUAUAAGCCCGAGACCAGAGGAGUGGCCUACGUGUAAAUAAUGUUUACAGCGGGCGUCAACGAGCUGGUGCUGGUGGUUUUCAUUGAGACGGAAUGCUGGAUGUUUUGGAAGUCUUUGGAGGAAGCUUAGCACUGCAAGGAUGACUGAGGUAUGGUAAUUGCAGUGACCAGAUUUGCCAGGACAUCUCUUUUCCAUUCACCCCCUGCUUUUUGAGCGUACAACUGAGAAGAGGAAAACGAAACAAUGGAAAGAUAUAUAUGUUUCCAUAUAUUACAUCUCUGCAGGAAGACAAACUACUUCAGAUGGAGAAAAAGUGUGUCUUAAAUGAGGUUUUCUCUAACACCAAGGUAGCUAAUUCAAACUCAAAUCCAGGCUAGGACAAGAGAGUUGGUAUUUUCCACAUAAAUUAGUUGGGUACUUUUAUACUGAAAACUCCUCCAAGAACUGGGAAACUGAAUUGACCUUUCCUUGGAUGCAGGGAGAAGAAUCUGCCAGCAAACUACAAGGACUACAAUUGUUCAUUGCUUUUGCCCUGUACACGCUCCCACACGCUCUCCUGAAGAUCAGAGGCAGCUUUUGCCAAAGGAGUGGGGGUGAGUUGGGCAUGCCUCGCCACGGUCUUUACAGACUUUCCAAGAUAACCUACCUAAGGGCUGGCUGCACAGCAGUGUGUCAUUUGGAUCUCCCACAGCAGCUCCAAUGGACAACUGUAUAGAGGAAGUUUGUGUCAGGGCAACAACUGAAUGUUUUAGAAGUGAUCAGGAACAACUACACUUGAGGAAAAUUCCAGAUUAUUUCUUUAGCUCUAGUCCUAUUAUUUACCAUUUGUGAGGGAUACCCAGGCUCCCAUAAAGAGUGCUAUAGAGCCACAUACUUAGAAAAAGUGAGAGGAAAUCGUAUGCAUACAGAAUACAUAGAUAUGGACAAACAUCUCCAAGAAUUCUUUAAAAAGAUGCUCAAACUACCAGGUACAAUAAAACAAUCUUAUAACCUGGAAAUAUCAUACAAAUAUUUUAACUACUUCAGAAAAAAAAGAGACGACUGCUGAAGUGUCAGGAUUACUAAGUACUUACUGCAAACACCACUGAUAAUUAAACCACUUUUUUUUUUUCUAUAUUUAUCCAUUUAAUAAUGCAAAUGUCUUUCUGCAACCAGUUGAAUUCCAGCUGUACUUGCUCCAUCCUGAAGGGCAAAGCUGUCAGCACACAUGGCUCUACAACACAGUGCAAUGGGCACGUUUCAUCUCUGGGGCAAGAUGUGGCAAAUCUCAAGGGAGCAUUUCAUCCCAGCUGCACUGCGGAGUUCACCUCAUGCUCUCAUACAGAAAAUAUCCUGGAGUUCGGUGGUGUGGCAAGGGGUCAGUGGCUCAGCUAUUUGAUUAACAUAAUGGCUAGUGUCUUCCAUGGAGAAGAGAUUGUACCUGAGAGGAUAUAAGCAAUAUCAACUCUGAAAUUACCCUUCCAGCCUUGCUUGUGCAAGAGGGAAGUUUCUCCUGCGUUGCAUUAUCUGAAAGCCAGCAACCCAGUUGCACAGGCCGCUGAGGUUCCAUUGAUUAUUUUAAAAGGCUCCAUGAAAGGUAAUUAUGAAAAGAUUUGUUACAGGAGAGAAAUUUUUAGGGAUCUGCAAAAUGAAAAAAAAAAAGGCUGAAAAUCACAGGUUUAGGGUGCUGCCUUCUUCCUUCCUUCCUUGAAGCCUCUGCUGGCAAGGUACGGAAAUUCUUUCAGUUAUCUCCAAAAAUGACAGAAGAUGAAGGCACUCAGCACCCUGUACAAUCAGGUACUUAAUGUCCUUACCCUCCCUGGGGCUCUGCCACUGACAGCAAAUGAACUAAUAGCUCCUGCUGCUCCCACCAGCCUGGUUCUCUGUGUCAUCCACCUACACACACUCACACAUUCAUUCUUUCCCUCAUCAUUUAUUAAUUCAAUUUAUUUAUUUAUGUAGGUUAUUUUCAGUAGUAUUUUUACAAAUAAUGGUGGAAAUGAAAAGAGCAAGAGAAACACAGUUAGGGAGAGAGCUGGUGGCAGAGAGGGAAUGGCAGGGGAAACUCUACUCCCCUGAGAACAAGAUGUACACUGGAGGAUCAUUCCAGAUUUUCAACUCAGGCAGAGCCUGGGCAAACUCCAAGUGACAUCAGCUUCACCAACCUUGCUCAACACUGACUUCAAACAGCCGAUUUACCUGGUGCUCAUGCUCUGCUUUCUGGACUAACAUGGUCUUUCUGAUUGUACUUGAGGCCUUUUAGAGCUCUCAAAAGACUACUUCUGCAUUUAAAGACCAUUAUUUUGGUUUUCAUGGCAUUUAGUCAUUAACUGUGUUUUAAAGCUUUAAUCCACAAGGGUCUUUGCUGUAAAGAAUAGGCAUAUUUACAUUGCCUAAACUAUGUGUCUAAAUGAGAUUACUUCCCUUUAUUUCCUUUUUAACCAUCCUCUAAGUAAACUCCGUUUUCUACAUUGACUCCA
Non-coding RNA from Phalacrocorax carbo (great cormorant), 2667 nucleotides. Lineage: Eukaryota; Metazoa; Chordata; Aves; Suliformes; Phalacrocoracidae. The record is from RefSeq and is a predicted model, not a curated record.